UAAGAAGGGGGCUAGCGUUGUUCGGAAUUACUGGGCGUAAAGCGCAUGUAGGCGGAUCUAUAAGUCAGAGGUGAAAUCCCCGGGCUCAACCCUGGAAUUGCCUUUGAUACUGUAGAUCUGGAGUCUGGGAGAGGUGGGUGGAAUUCCGAGUGUAGAGGUGAAAUUCGUAGAUAUUCGGAGGAACACCAGUGGCGAAGGCGGCUCACUGGCCCGAGACUGACGCUGAGAUGCGAAAGCGUGGGGAGCAAACAGG
This 253-nucleotide ribosomal RNA is filed under the name uncultured bacterium. RNAcentral's name for it is "partial 16S ribosomal RNA". It matches the Rfam family "Bacterial small subunit ribosomal RNA", at positions 524 to 776 of the family's 1533-position model. The record is from RNAcentral.